This 19-nucleotide non-coding RNA is filed under the name Arabidopsis thaliana (thale cress). Lineage: Eukaryota; Viridiplantae; Streptophyta; Magnoliopsida; Brassicales; Brassicaceae. The record is from RNAcentral.
UGCUCCGGUUGAUCAACAU